This 297-nucleotide ribosomal RNA is filed under the name uncultured Synechococcus sp. RNAcentral's name for it is "partial 16S ribosomal RNA". It matches the Rfam family "Bacterial small subunit ribosomal RNA", at positions 1239 to 1533 of the family's 1533-position model. The record is from RNAcentral. Lineage: Bacteria; Bacillati; Cyanobacteriota; Cyanophyceae; Synechococcales; Synechococcaceae.
ACAAAGGGCAGCAAGUUCGCAAGGACAAGCAAAUCCCAUAAACCGUGGCUCAGUUCAGAUCGUAGGCUGCAACUCGCCUACGUGAAGGAGGAAUCGCUAGUAAUCGCAGGUCAGCAUACUGCGGUGAAUACGUUCCCGGGCCUUGUACACACCGCCCGUCACACCAUGGAAGUUGGCCACGCCCGAAGCCGUUACUCCAACCCUUGUGGAGGAGGACGUCGAAGGUGGGGCUGAUGACUGGGGUGAAGUCGUAACAAGGUAUCCGUACCGGAAGGUGCGGAUGGAUCACCUCCUAAC